ACUACGCUGGCGGCGUGCCUAAUACAUGCAAGUCGAACGGGAUUCUUUGAUCAGCUUGCUGAGAGAAGGAUCUAGUGGCGGACGGGUGAGUAACGCGUGGGAAUCUGCCUCUUACUGGGGGAUAACAGUGGGAAACUACUGCUAAUACCGCAUAAGAUCUUCGGAUGAAAGGUGCAACUGCACCGGUAAGAGAUGAGCCCGCGUCCCAUUAGCUAGUUGGUGAGGUAAAGGCUCACCAAGGCGACGAUGGGGUAGCCGGCCUGAGAGGGUGAACGGCCACACUGGGACUGAGACACGGCCCAGACUCCUACGGGAGGCAGCAGUAGGGAAUCUUCCGCAAUGGGCGCAAGCCUGACGGAGCGACGCCGCGUGAGUGAUGAAGGCCUUCGGGUCGUAAAGCUCUGUUCUUGAGGACGAAUAAGCCAGGGAGUGGAAAGCCCUGGUGAUGACUGUACUCAAGGAGAAAGCUCCGGCUAACUACGUG
This 484-nucleotide ribosomal RNA is filed under the name uncultured bacterium. RNAcentral describes it as "bacterial SSU rRNA". It matches the Rfam family "Bacterial small subunit ribosomal RNA", at positions 33 to 507 of the family's 1533-position model. The record is from RNAcentral.